Daphnia pulex (common water flea) is the source of this 731-nucleotide long non-coding RNA. RefSeq lists it as uncharacterized. Lineage: Eukaryota; Metazoa; Arthropoda; Branchiopoda; Diplostraca; Daphniidae. The record is from RefSeq and is a predicted model, not a curated record. The transcript is spliced from 2 exons.
GUGGAGUGUAUAGAGUGUGUUCAGGGAUUGAGCUAUUGAGAAUUGAGCCCAAGUAGUGUUGCCUGUUGGUGGGGGAUGUGGAGGGAGGGGGGAGUUUUUGAAUUUUGCAACUUUGUGUGAUACUGAUUUGUCAUUUGUGUCUUUGUGUUCUGUUCCUGUUCCAUAUCAGUCCGCGCCGCUAAGCCAACACUCGCUUCACUUCAUUGCAGUGUUGGCAGUAGAGGAGCACGUGUGUAUUCUUCUUGUUUUAGGCAUCUGUGUUGUGUGUGGUCGGUCUCCUAGAAUUGACGAUGAAACAUUUGUUAACAGGAUUUAGAUUUUUUGCUUGUCCACUGACAGCUGGGUUUUGGAGGCCAUGGCAAGUUAAUAGCAUAAAAGUGUUCCAGAUUGGAAAGUGAUUCCUUCAAUGUUUACAGCAAACACACAUUUGAACAGUUGUUUGAUAUUUUGUUCACCGUGUCUAAAUAUUGUCUUAGUGUUUUGCAUUUCAUUUAAUUUGUUUGUACCUGUCUUAAUUUUAUAAUUUUUUUUUGUCAUAUGACUCAUAACAACCAAGUGAUGUUUUUAGCUGUUUGAUGUUGCAAUUGAUGGAUUCAUCCAUAAAAUUCGCCCACCAAAAAAGGACCAGAUUGAAUUUGGCGGAUUGUUUUCCUUUUUCAUAUGCGUUAUGUCAUUGAAGUAAUCGUGUAAUAAUAUAACCUGGGAUUAAUUCAAUAUAUUUGGAAAACGAA